This 460-nucleotide ribosomal RNA is filed under the name uncultured bacterium. RNAcentral's name for it is "partial 16S ribosomal RNA". It matches the Rfam family "Bacterial small subunit ribosomal RNA", at positions 338 to 795 of the family's 1533-position model. The record is from RNAcentral.
CCUACGGGGGGCAGCAGUGAGGAAUAUUGGUCAAUGGACGAGAGUCUGAACCAGCCAAGUAGCGUGAAGGAUGACUGCCCUAUGGGUUGUAAACUUCUUUUAUAUGGGAAUAAAAUGUUCCACGUGUGGGAUUUUGUAUGUACCAUAUGAAUACGGAUCGGCUAACUCCGUGCCAGCAGCCGCGGUAAUACGGAGGAUCCGAGCGUUAUCCGGAUUUAUUGGGUUUAAAGGGAGCGUAGGUGGAUUGUUAAGUCAGUUGUGAAAGUUUGCGGCUCAACCGUUAAAUUGCAGUUGAAACUGGCAGUCUUGAGUACAGUAGAGGUGGGCGGAAUUCGUGGUGUAGCGGUGAAAUGCUUAGAUAUUACGAAGAACUCCGAUUGCGAAGGCAGUUCACUGGACUGCAACUGACACUGAGGCUCGAAAGUGUGGGUAUCAAACAGGAUUAGAUACCCUUGUAGUC